This 247-nucleotide ribosomal RNA is filed under the name uncultured Actinomycetes bacterium. RNAcentral's name for it is "uncultured actinobacterium partial 16S ribosomal RNA". It matches the Rfam family "Bacterial small subunit ribosomal RNA", at positions 28 to 276 of the family's 1533-position model. The record is from RNAcentral. Lineage: Bacteria; Bacillati; Actinomycetota; Actinomycetes.
GACGAACGCUGGCGGCGUGCCUAACACAUGCAAGUCGAGCGGUAAGGCCCUUUCGGGGGGACACGAGCGGCGAACGGGUGAGUAACACGUGGGUGACCUGCCCCUUGCUCUGGGAUAAGCCUGGGAAACUGGGUCUAAUACCGGAUAUGACCCUAUGGCGCAUGUUGUGGGUGGAAAGCCUUUGUGCGGCUGAGGAUGGGCCCGCGGCCUAUCAGCUUGUUGGUGGGGUGAUGGCCUACCAAGGCGA